This 468-nucleotide ribosomal RNA is filed under the name uncultured bacterium. Its description in RNAcentral is "partial 16S ribosomal RNA". It matches the Rfam family "Bacterial small subunit ribosomal RNA", at positions 28 to 507 of the family's 1533-position model. The record is from RNAcentral.
GACGAACGCUGGCGGCGUGCUUAACACAUGCAAGUCGAACGGAAAGGCCCUGCUUUUGUGGGGUGCUCGAGUGGCGAACGGGUGAGUAACACGUGAGUAACCUGCCCUUGACUUUGGGAUAACUUCAGGAAACUGGGGCUAAUACCGGAUAGGAGCUCCUGCUGCAUGGUGGGGGUUGGAAAGUUUCGGCGGUUGGGGAUGGACUCGCGGCUUAUCAGCUUGUUGGUGGGGUAGUGGCUUACCAAGGCUUUGACGGGUAGCCUGCCUGAGCGGGUGACCGGCCACAUUGGGACUGAGAUACGGCCCAGACUCCUACGGGAGGCAGCAGUGGGGAAGAUUGCACAAUGGGCGGAAGCCUGAUGCAGAAACGCCGCGUGCGGGAUGACGGCCUUCGGGGUGUAAACCGAUUUCGCCUGUGACGAAGCGUGAGUGACGGUAAUGGGUAAAGAAGCACCGGCUAACUACGUG